GAUGAACGCUGGCGGCGUGCUUAACACAUGCAAGUCGAAUGGUGAAGCAGGAGCUUGCUCUUGUGGAUCAGUGGCGAACGGGUGAGUAACACGUGAGCAACCUGCCCCUGGCUCUGGGAUAAGCGCUGGAAACGGCGUCUAAUACUGGAUAUGUGAUGUGACCGCAUGGUCUGCAUCUGGAAAGAAUUUCGGUUGGGGAUGGGCUCGCGGCCUAUCAGCUUGUUGGUGAGGUAAUGGCUCACCAAGGCGUCGACGGGUAGCCGGCCUGAGAGGGUGACCGGCCACACUGGGACUGAGACACGGCCCAGACUCCUACGGGAGGCAGCAGUGGGGAAUAUUGCACAAUGGGCGGAAGCCUGGUGCAGCAACGCCGCGUGAGGGAUGACGGCCUUCGGGUUGUAAACCUCUUUUAGCAGGGAAGAAGCGAAAGUGACGGUACCUGCAGAAAAAGCACCGGCUAACUACGUGCCAGCCGCCGCAGUAA
RNAcentral lists this ribosomal RNA (484 nucleotides) under uncultured bacterium. RNAcentral's name for it is "partial 16S ribosomal RNA". It matches the Rfam family "Bacterial small subunit ribosomal RNA", at positions 28 to 523 of the family's 1533-position model. The record is from RNAcentral.